UUUUAGGGUCCCAUUUUAUAAUUCCUGGUUGCCAAGCGUUCUUCAAGGCACCGGUUUGGGAAAUGCUGAGAGCUAAAGGUGUGGCAAACAUUGCAGGUGAUUGCGAGAGGAACCAGGUGAAAGAUUAUAGUUAUGCUCCAAGAAAGACCAAAUGAGUCAGCUACUCCUUACGUUGGAAUAUAAAGACGUCAACCAACUAUCUUUGGAUAUCAGGAGCAAACAUUACACUGCACCAGAUAAGAUCCAAUUCACCUGGAGUGGCCAUUAUAGGAGAAAUGAACAUCGAAGAGGGAGAUAUUGGCUCUAAUCCAUAACAUAGUUGAUCUUCUCCCCCAGCCACUACUGGCACCACCUAGCAUUCGUUCCUCAACCAAGGAUUCAUUCCAAUCAAUUCAGCUGGAAAAGUGUGCCAAAGAACAACCUGGACAUAGAGAAGAGAGCAAUCCAGCAUGAUGGCGUAUGUGUGAGACAUGACAGAAGCUCCAGGUCCACAGCUGUCCCCUCUAGAACUACAUCAGUAUGCCCAGCUCUCCAAAAGCUGGUUCAAAUCCUUUGCAAGGAAAUCAAAGAAGCUGAUACCUUUCCAGAAUGGGUAUGGCAAAUUGCUGCCCGUACGCUGAUACUCCCCUCUCCCAUCAUUGUUAUUCCCAUUUGAGGGCUAACUGAUGGUCUCAUUCUUUCCUGCUGAGCCCGGGUGGAACUUGAGAAUCCCUCCCAGCAGAGCACACCAGGCAUAGGGUGCUGAAAGACUGGAGUUUUUAUGCAGGGUGAAAUCCAGUGGUAAUCUCACUUUAUAAUAGUCCCCCACACCAGCUCCCUGUGUGGUGAGGACAUAGGUAUUUGUCCUCAUCUUGGCCAAUGGGACACAUUGUGUGUCUCAUUGCUGAUGAAAGUUCCCUCUCUUUUGAUCAUAUAAGUAGAUACAUCUCUACAUCUUAGUGUGUAAAAAAAAAAAAAAAGGCAAGAAUUUGUUUUCCUUUUAUAUGUUUGGAUUUCCAUGGUGAGGGAGGUAUAAAAUUCAAUUAAUUGUUAAAAUAACCCUCCCCAAACGCACAUGAAAUAAAAUCUUUUACUUCCUGGAA
This is a long non-coding RNA of Ailuropoda melanoleuca (giant panda), 1082 nucleotides long. RefSeq lists it as uncharacterized. The record is from RefSeq and is a predicted model, not a curated record. The transcript is spliced from 2 exons. NCBI's taxonomy places the organism in Eukaryota, Metazoa, Chordata, Mammalia, Carnivora, Ursidae.